This 497-nucleotide ribosomal RNA is filed under the name uncultured bacterium. Its description in RNAcentral is "partial 16S ribosomal RNA". It matches the Rfam family "Bacterial small subunit ribosomal RNA", at positions 28 to 507 of the family's 1533-position model. The record is from RNAcentral.
GAUGAACGCUGGCGGCGUGCCUAAUACAUGCAAGUCGAGCGAACGGACGAGAAUCUUGCUUCUCUGAUGUUAGCGGCGGACGGGUGAGUAACACGUGGAUAACCUACCUAUAAGACUGGGAUAACUUCGGGAAACCGGAGCUAAUACCGGAUGAUAUUUUGAACCGCAUGGUUCAAAAGUGAAAGACGGUCUUGCUGUCACUUAUAGAUGGAUCCGCGCUGCAUCAGCUAGUUGGUAAGGUAACGGCUUACCAAGGCAACGAUGCAUAGCCGACCUGAGAGGGUGAUCGGCCACACUGGAACUGAGACACGGUCCAGACUCCUACGGGAGGCAGCAGUAGGGAAUCUUCCGCAAUGGGCGAAAGCCUGACGGAGCAACGCCGCGUGAGUGAUGAAGGUCUUCGGAUCGUAAAACUCUGUUAUUAGGGAAGAACAUAUGUGUAAGUAACUGUGCACAUCUUGACGGUACCUAAUCAGAAAGCCACGGCUAACUACGUG